UGAACCCAGUCCCAGGUUUCCCCACCCGUGCGCUCUGGUUUUGAUCUCGGCAGCACUGGAUAUCCUUCCUGAGACUACGUGCCUCUGCCCGAGGGGGCCUAGCUGCUCUCAGCUUCCUAGCCGGGGAGCUGUUUUCUCUCUAAUGAUUCAACGAGGGAGGGCUGGUUGUUCGGGAGCGGGGAGACUGUGGGAUGGGGUCUGCUCCCAGAUCUGCCAGCGAGCCGCCUCGGGCGACAUCAUCACGACUCACUUCAUGUUUCAGCUCCGGCAUCUGCAAACCACAGCCCCAUGAAGAGGCCUGAUGAAGGAAAUUGGCUGCUGGCCCCAGCAAGAAACUUUUGAGAUUAUAGAGUGCAGACGCCGGCAAAAGAGGGCUUGCGUCGCUGCCUGGAAAAUGCACAGUGGGACUUUGAAGAGCUCUCCUUCUAAUUAUAGCGGCAAAGAGCAGGCCCGCUGGUCUGGGAA
This is a long non-coding RNA of Alligator mississippiensis (American alligator), 465 nucleotides long. RefSeq lists it as uncharacterized. The record is from RefSeq and is a predicted model, not a curated record. NCBI's taxonomy places the organism in Eukaryota, Metazoa, Chordata, Crocodylia, Alligatoridae. The transcript is spliced from 2 exons.